This is a long non-coding RNA of Vitis riparia (riverbank grape), 341 nucleotides long. RefSeq lists it as uncharacterized. NCBI's taxonomy places the organism in Eukaryota, Viridiplantae, Streptophyta, Magnoliopsida, Vitales, Vitaceae. The transcript has 3 exons. The record is from RefSeq and is a predicted model, not a curated record.
AUGCAAAUAAGCUUGAACAAGGGGGUUUUGGGCCAAUUUACAAGGGCAAGUUUCCAGAAGCGCAAGAGAUUGUGGUAAAGAGACUCUCAAGAGCUUCAGGACAAGGCCCCAAGGAAUUUAAGAAUGAGGUGUUAAUUGCCAAACUUCAGCAUCAGAACAUGUUUAGACUUUUGGCUAUUGUAUUGAAGGAGAUAAGAAGAUCUUACUCUAUGAAUAUAUGUCCAACAAAAACUUAGACUCCUUCAUAUUUGCGGUUCAACAUCAUUUUGGGAAUUGCUCAAGGACUACUUUAUCUUCACCAAGAUUCAAGAUUGAAGAUUAUUCGUAGAAACUUGAAAACA